RNAcentral lists this ribosomal RNA (424 nucleotides) under Streptococcus mitis. Its description in RNAcentral is "bacterial SSU rRNA". It matches the Rfam family "Bacterial small subunit ribosomal RNA", at positions 28 to 444 of the family's 1533-position model. The record is from RNAcentral. Lineage: Bacteria; Bacillati; Bacillota; Bacilli; Lactobacillales; Streptococcaceae.
GACGAACGCUGGCGGCGUGCCUAAUACAUGCAAGUAGAACGCUGAGGGAGGAGCUUGCUUCUCUGGAUGAGUUGCGAACGGGUGAGUAACGCGUAGGUAACCUGCCUGGUAGCGGGGGAUAACUAUUGGAAACGAUAGCUAAUACCGCAUAACAGUAGAUGUUGCAUGACAUUUGCUUAAAAGGUGCAAUUGCAUCACUACCAGAUGGACCUGCGUUGUAUUAGCUAGUUGGUGGGGUAACGGCUCACCAAGGCGACGAUACAUAGCCGACCUGAGAGGGUGAUCGGCCACACUGGGACUGAGACACGGCCCAGACUCCUACGGGAGGCAGCAGUAGGGAAUCUUCGGCAAUGGACGGAAGUCUGACCGAGCAACGCCGCGUGAGUGAAGAAGGUUUUCGGAUCGUAAAGCUCUGUUGUAAGAG